GUCUACGGCCACGCCGCCCCGAACGCGCCCGACCCCGUCUAUCUCGGAAGCUAAGCAGGGACGGGCCUGGUCGGUACUCGGAUGGGAGACCACCUAGGAAGACCGGGUGCUAUAGGUG
Molecule: ribosomal RNA, 118 nt
Filed under: Pteropus alecto (black flying fox)
Lineage: Eukaryota; Metazoa; Chordata; Mammalia; Chiroptera; Pteropodidae
Source: RNAcentral